Molecule: non-coding RNA, 26 nt
Filed under: Mus musculus (house mouse)
Lineage: Eukaryota; Metazoa; Chordata; Mammalia; Rodentia; Muridae
Source: RNAcentral
UGACAGCGACAAAAUCAUCUACUCCC